AACUGUUGCCUCGGCGGGAUCUCUGCCCCGGGUGCGUCGCAGCCCCGGACCAAGGCGCCCGCCGGAGGACCAACCAAAACUCUUAUUGUAUACCCCCUCGCGGGUUUUUUUAUAAUCUGAGCCUUCUCGGCGCCUCUCGUAGGCGUUUCGAAAAUGAAUCAAAACUUUCAACAACGGAUCUCUUGGUUCUGGCAUCGAUGAAGAACGCAGCGAAAUGCGAUAAGUAAUGUGAAUUGCAGAAUUCAGUGAAUCAUCGAAUCUUUGAACGCACAUUGCGCCCGCCAGUAUUCUGGCGGGCAUGCCUGUCCGAGCGUCAUUUCAACCCUCGAACCCCUCCGGGGGGUCGGCGUUGGGGAUCGGCCCUGCCUUGGCGGUGGCCGUCUCCGAAAUACAGUGGCGGUCUCGCCGCAGCCUCUCCUGCGCAGUAGUUUGCACACUCGCAUCGGGAGCGCGGCGCGUCCACAGCCGUUAAACACCCAACUUCUGAAAUGUUGACCUCGGAUCAGGUAGGAAUACCCGCUGAACUUAAGCAUAUCAAUAAGCGGAGGAA
RNAcentral lists this ribosomal RNA (550 nucleotides) under Trichoderma harzianum. RNAcentral's name for it is "eukaryotic LSU rRNA". The stretch from base 163 to 316 matches the Rfam family "5.8S ribosomal RNA". The record is from RNAcentral. Lineage: Eukaryota; Fungi; Ascomycota; Sordariomycetes; Hypocreales; Hypocreaceae.